ACCUUUGGUAUAAUUCAUUCCAUACCUCAUUACCAACAUGCUCCAUCUGUAAGUUUCCUCUAGAUGUAACAAGUCCAUUAGCCAUCCAAAGUUGAAUGAGAUUUUCCUUCACCAUUUCAAAAUCCUUAGGAAAAACAGCACAAAAAGUAAAACACGGCCUUAAGGACAAAUUCAAAUUAAAGUAGCUUAGUCUCAAAGCAGACAUGAUAGGGUUAUCCUCAGAUAACUUCCAAAGCUCACUUUCCUUUACAGAAAGCCAUUGAUGUUCCUCAUUUUUAAAGCGCAAAAGGCUUCCCAAAACCUUGGCAGCAAGUGGUGAACCCACACAUUUUAUCACUAUCUCCUUGCCUAUUGCUGCAAGCUCUGCAGGCUCUUCCCCAUUAGGUCCAAAAGCGUGUUGUUUAAAUAAUGUCCAAAUGUCGUCGUCAUAUAAACCUACCAAAUGGUGAGCAGGGUGAGUUCCCAUGAUGGAUGCAACAAUAUCAAGUCGUGUUGUGACUAAAAUAGAUGAACCUUUCAUUGUAUUUCCACUCUUCAAAUAAUGCUUCAACUUUUCCCAUUUUAUUUGUUCAUGGUUCCACACAUCAUCCAGUACAAGUAAAUACUUUUUGCUUUGCAAAACUUCUUGAACUUUUUUUUGCAUUAAUUCUAAAGUCGAGAGAUUAUGAUUUUGUCCAGUGGCAGAUUCUAUGAUAGAGUGUAGGAUUUUCAUGAUGCUGAAAUCAUCUGAAACACAAACCCAUAUUUUCAAAUCAAAAUGGGUGGUUACGCUUUCAUCCUUGUAUACCAAUUGAGCAAGUGUUGUUUUUCCAUAUCCACCUAGGCCAACAAUGGAAUAGACAGAGAGAUCUUCACUAUUGCUAGCAUGCCUCAGAAGAUACUCAACAAUUUGUUCUUUAUCUCUGUCUCUUCCAUAUACUUUGGAUUCAGUGAUGACAGAGGUAGUUUGCCGCCACUCUUCAUCUUCUGGUUGGUGCUCCAUGACCCCCACCUGCAAUCCGAACUUCAUCCUUUCUUCAGCAAUAUCAUCGAUCUCUUUAGCAAUCUCCUUCAUCCUCUUUCCAAUGUUGCGACGAGCCAAAAUCUUCAUAGGAUGGAAACGAGUGAUCCGCUUGUUGUCGCCAUGUGCUUUUAAGGUUAUUGAACAUUCGUCCAAUAUAUCAUCAAGCACAUAAGCAGCAUCACGCAGUUGCUGUAACCACUCUUUCACAGCAUCAUUUGUUAUUUGCUUCUUUUCAGCAUCUUUUAGGACAGCACGGAUUAAAGUGAGCUUUCUAGAUAGUCUUUGGGUCAAUUCUCCAACACCCAAAUAGGUAGCAAGCUCCUCUUGUACAAAAGAUCCGAGGUUUUGAAUCACGAUACCAAGUAAAGCAUCAGCCAUUUUCAGAUGUGAGAACAGAAAUGAAUCAAAGUUGUUUAGAUUAGAGAUGACUUUGCUCUAGGAAGAUGAAAUAUGAGUUGUUAUUUGUUUUCAAAGAUUAUCUAUUAAAUCAGUGGAUGUAGUUUUUCUGCAACUUGUGAAUAUUGGUUGCUAUAGAAAAAAAAAUAUCAGUACAUGACAGUGAGGAAAACUACAUGACAGUGGGAAAAAAACAAGAUCAUGUCCAUUCAUUUGCUCAGUGCCUAGAAAAAUUGUUCUCUUUCAAAGGUAUGGCUUAAUUGUUGAUAAUAACUGUUAAACGGACUAGAAUCACAUUCCAAAAACUAGCAUAAUAAAAGGUGAGAGUGCUCAAACACAUUUAUACAUAUAUGCAUAAGAAUGUCGGUAAUGUGGGAAUCCAAACAACUUCAAUAUUAAUAUAUAAACUGGAUAAACAAUGGUUCGUGAGUGAAUAUCUCUUUCAUGAAUGUGUUGUAAUUGCAAACGCAUCAACAAAUUGUUUGAAUUCUAAGAGUAUAGCCAUAGACCGUAAAAAUAAAUUAUAGCAAAUCUACCUAAUAAGAUUAAAAAUUACAACCCAAAUGUCACUUUUAUUAAUCAUUUUAGUCCACAAAUAUGUUUUUCUGGUGGUCAAUUUAGUCCAAAAAUUACAUACAAAAAAAAAAACAAUAGAAAUAUGUUUGGAAUCUAGAUAUAUUUAAAAACAUGCAUAGACAGGUUUCACAUUAUACGACCAAAAUGGUUCUCUACUCUUUAUAAUUGGGAAACAUAUUGGCUCAUGCGAACAAUCCACACCAUUGAAACCUAUUUUAAAAUUUUAAAAUUUCCAAAUUUGUUCUAGGGUGACCUAGACUUCACCAGAGAGAAUCCAGUCACAAAUAAUAGUAAUACUAAUUAUUUAUAUAUUUCAAGUUGGGAAGUGUAUCUGCUGAUUUUUCUACAGCCACAUCUGUUGCAACCUUUCAACCUUGAACAGUACAUAAAUUUUACUGCAUACUGUAUAUAAUACUAUUCAAAAAUGAUUUUUGAAUACUAACAACAGACAAGUUAUCACAAAAUACUUUCAUUGAUUGUGUUGUGUGGCUGUAAUCUUUUCAACAAGUUAUCACAAAAUAUAGGAUCAGCUUGCAUUAUAUUACACACAAAAUCACAUAGAAAGAUCUUUAAUUCCAUAAAGACAGAAUGAGAUCUUUAAUUCCAAUAAAUGAAAACAAAGCGCAACAAAAUACACAAGAAAUGUGACUCAAUGGAAAAUAUCAGAUUCAAAUAUAAUUCAGCAGCAAAGAUAACUAGAAGCAACUGAACAAUAGAAGCAUCCAUAACAAAGUAAGAUUGUUAGCAGAUACAAAAAAGGAAUCUGCAAAUUUACAAUUUUCAUCAAAUCAAAUAAUGAUUUAGGAAGGAUACUACAGAAUGUUUCUAGAGAAAUAAAGCAUUGAUUAAUCCAUUAUACGAUCACAAAGCCAUUUCAUACAUAGGAAAGUAACACAACAAAAUUAGUAACACAGAGAUAUGAAAUUCCAAUUAAACAUAUCAAGAAAUUACUCUAUACAACAGACAAUUGAAAAAAUAUAACGGGGAACAUGGUAUUCAAACAUGAGUGAUGCUUAUCGCAUAACGUACUCUCAUAAAAUACAGAACAUUGACAAAAUGCCAAGAAUUGUAAUCCAUUUCAAAUGUAAUUAAUUCAACAGCAAAGAUAACAGAGCAAUAUGCAGGCAAUAAUCAAAUCAAAUUUCUGUUUAACGGAGCCAAGUUGAGCAUUUUGUUUGAACUUCAAAACUGAUCAGCCCUAAACUGCAAUUAAGAUCAACAUUGAUUUUAAAUCCUUUCAAUGAAACUAUUAUAAUUAUAUUACUGAAUGUCACAUAUCACACGCACAUAUAUGCACUUUACCUCGAUAACAACGCCAUGCAACUCCUUGUGCGAGAAAUUCCUUAGAAAAUACGGUUCAUUUGUCAAAUACAUAGUAUAAAAAUUGAGACGGUUAUUGCAGAAUCAUGUACAAACCUGUUUGCGUAGGCGUGGGGGAAAAUAUUUUUUCUAGUAUUACUAACUUGACACUUGCAAUAAAGUAAUAAUUGAAUGAUACAAACUGGUACCAAUUGAUAAAUUCACUUGAAUAACAGAGAUUUUAUUGAUGAGUCUGUAAUGGAAUUAGUCUCAAACAUUUACACUGUCGCAGAAUUGAAAUAACAGAGAUCAGUUUUAUUGGAUCUGAGUUUGGUUCUAGCAAGCCGAAUCAACCAAGUUACAUGAAUCACAACUUGACAACAUUUUAUAUAAAUAUAACUUCCAUAUUACAGAACAUUUAAAUAAUUUUUUCACUGCAUAAUUGCCAUACUAUCAAUUUCGAUUAUCCAUUUUCAUAUUUCUUACAUAUUGUAAACGAGCCAUACUUUAGGCUUAUUUUCAAUAGUAUCCAAUACUUGACAGAUAUCUGCAAUCACAAGAAUGUAUAGGACACAGCUUCAAACUAUAGACCUAUUUGGCCAAAUAGUACUCAAAAACAUUUUCCACUAAACAGAGAAGUCUUUCUCUUUCAUUUAAUAAGAAGGGUUGUAUGAUUAUUAUAAAUAAGAAUAUAGGAUGAGAUAUUUUUACCCUAAAGAAUCAAUAAUGAAGACAAGAGCGUUCAUUACACAUCUAUAUGCUAUCGACUUCCUUUUCAAUCAUCCAGUCAAAUUCACCGUAGGUAAAGUCAGGGUAUUGAGAUGGGCGGUGCCAGAAUUGCUUCCAUGCUGAUUUGAUAUUCUCUGCACACAUUGUUUAAUAUUCUCACAUCAUAUAAUUUGAUAUAAUAUAGUAAGAAUAAAGAGUGGAUUCAUUAAAUUAAAUUAAAUUACCACAUAUAGUUGGUUUUGUUUGUUCUACAUCAGAUUGCAAUUCUCGAUUCAAUACAAAUCGAGGAAUGUGAGCUAUCUUAUGCCAAUCUUCACCUAUUCCUCUCUUGCAUCUCUUCUCCAACAUAGGGCAACGAUCAAUACAUAACAUUUGCAAGUUUUGGAGUUGCUGAAAGUUGUCUGGUACUGAACUUAACUUUGAAAACCCAUAAAUUUGUAAUUCUUGUACAGAAGUCAUGGCACCCAAACAGUCUGGCAAGGAUGUUAGAGAAGGAAAAUCAAUCAGAUGCAAAUAUUGCAGUGAGGGGAUGUUAGGGAAGGAUGUUUCUCAGCCGUCUAGUAUGUUUUCAUUACCCCCAAAGACUUCCGGUUGACGAAGGGAAGUUAGACUGUCCAUGUUUUGUGGAAAAACGAACUGUGAACAGUCACCGAUUACAAGAGAAGUAAGGUGUCUCAUACCGUCGGGUAGGGAUUUGAAUCUAGAACAUGAACGAACUGACAAUUUUCGAAGAGAACUCAAACCUUGCAACAAUUGCUCCGAAAAGGACUCCAUUUCAUGACAAGAAUCAAUGUUAAGAGAUUCUAAAGCACCAAGAGUACCGAGUUCAACAGGUAAUUCCUUGAGUUCGGCGAAAUUUGAUAUGUGAGAGUUAACUUAAAAUCAGAAAUCUGGAGCAUCGUGCCACGAUCGAAAAGCAUCGCGCCACGAUGGUUGAAGCAAGAUUCCUGGGAAGACACUGGAAAAAUUGUGCCACGAUGAAGCAGGGUCGUGCCACGAUGGUCGCACUGAAGAUAAAAAUAAAAUGUAUUUUCAUUUAGAUUUGUUUCAGUUUUUUAAGGGUUUACUUUCCACUAUAAAUACAGCCUUGUAGCAGAUGAUAAAAGUGUGUAGAAAAACAAGGUUUAGACCAACAAACAAACUAGGGUUUAUAGAGAAUCUCUCUUGGCAACAACUCUAGGGUUGGGAUUGUUUUGAUUCACCUUGAACAAAACACUAUUAGGAUUGAGUCUCUUGGUCACGGGAAGAGGCUGGGACUUGGGUAGAAUUAGGUUUGAAGACUGAUUCUUGAAACUCAUUAUCUCUUUGUAAAGAAACUCAUUCAUUAUAGUGGAUCGGAGAGCUGCUCUCUCCCCCAGACUAGGUCAUCAUUAGACCGAACUGGGUAAACAAAUAUCUUGUGUUCUUUCUCUCUCUCUCUCUCUCUCUCUCUCUCUCUUUUAUUUCUUGUUGUUUUUGUUUGGAUUAUUUGCUACCCGCUUGAUUUGAUUACUUGGUAUUAAUUUGCUCCACGCAUCAAGUCUUAUUGUUGUGGUUUUCUCAACAAAUUCACAACAAGAAAGUGACCUAAGAUUAUUACCAGCAAUUCCCCGUGAGGAGGAAGCUAGAUCUUCACUGAAAUUGUUGUAAAAAAUGGACUUCAAUAACUCUUCAUUUCUUCCACUAGCAGUAAGUGACUCAACAUAUGGAAGGGACGACAGUGUAAGCUUGGGGACAUUUAUUAUAUUUAACUUCAAAGGUUGUGGCAGCAUCUCUACUCCUUCAACUUCCAACACCCUCUCGAAAUUUGGUAAGUUAUGCAAAGUCAAAAAAAUUUGAAUGACAUAAAAGCCUUCUCAGUCGCAGGUUCAUACAAGUCAUCAUCAAUGUACUUUAUAUCUCUCAUUUUAGAUACAUAAAGAAUAGUUAAACAUGGUAAUUUACCAAAUGGAGGAAACUGCCUGCAAUUUUUACAGCCAUAGAGAAUAAUACUAACUAAACCUUUUAGAAUAGAAGUAUUUCUCAUCCAAAGAGGAAAAUGUAUUCCCCCAUAACCAUUCACCCCAAAAUGCUUAAGACCUGAAUGAGGCUCAAGAGCAUCCAGUACUCGCUCAGCAUCAACACCACUAACUUGUGAAUUAGCAUAACCACCCCAUGACAAAUAUAAGCGAUUUAAGUCCUUCUUGCCAAUCAAAUUAGCGUCUCUAGCAUGCUCUUCAUUCGAUACAUUCUCAAGGACUUUGAUGUGUAGAUUUCCUCCUAAUUAUAGGUUGCAUAGCUCGGCUAAACCAUAACCAGUUUUUGAAUCAACAAUGAAAAUGGACCAUGUUUUCAGACAAGUGAACUUCCCAAUUUUAAAAGGAGAUGACAUCAAUGAAUGGCAAUUUUUAAUCAUGAGAUGUCGAAGGUCCUUCAAUUCUAUCAAUUGUUUAGGAAAACUGGAUAGAAAAUGACAACGUUCAAGUUUUAGUGUUUGCAAUUUCUGCAGUCUACAAACAGAACCUGGUAAGAUUGUGAUGGGACUUUGGUUGAGUUCCAAGUACCUCAAGUGAAUUAAACUCAUCAAUGAUGAGAGUUGAUGAAAACUUGCAUGUAAAGCUCGAAGAGGGGUGCUAGAUAGCAACAUAUUUAAGUUCUUGGAAGGUGGUUUAUACUCAAGAAAGGUUCGCAAGGAAUCAAAUUUUUGGAAGGGAAUCAUGUAGUCAUCUUUUGAUUUGUUAUCAAAGAGACUUAUAUGGUGAACUCUAAUUGAAAAAUUAGUCAACUUUGAGACAUCAUAAGAAAUACAUUCUUCUCCCAUAAAAGACUGACCUAAAUCAUGGAUAAAAUCAUGCAUUUUGAAUGUAAUGUUACCAACAAAAUCUGAUUUAACUUCUUGAAAAAAUGACCUUUGGUAUAAUUCAUUCCAUACCUCAUUACCAACAUCCUCCAUCUGUAAGUUUCCUCUAGAUGUAACAAGUCCAUUAGCCAUCCAAAGAUGAAUGAGAUUUUCCUUCACCAUUUCAAAAUCCUUGGGAAAAACAGCGCAGAAGGUAAAACAUGGCCUCAAGGACAAUUUCAAGUUAAAGUAGCUUAGUCUCAAAACAGACAUGAUAGGAUCAUCCUCAGUUAAAUUCCAAAACUCACUUUCCAGUACAGAAAUCCAUUGAUGUUCGUCGCU
This 7142-nucleotide long non-coding RNA is filed under the name Medicago truncatula (barrel medic). RNAcentral's name for it is "long non-coding RNA (MTRU_LNC004130)". The record is from RNAcentral. Lineage: Eukaryota; Viridiplantae; Streptophyta; Magnoliopsida; Fabales; Fabaceae.